Molecule: ribosomal RNA, 253 nt
Filed under: uncultured bacterium
Lineage: Bacteria
Description: partial 16S ribosomal RNA
Rfam family: Bacterial small subunit ribosomal RNA
Source: RNAcentral
UACGGAGGGUGCAAGCGUUAUCCGGAUUCACUGGGUUUAAAGGGUGCGUAGGUGGGCAGGUAAGUCAGUGGUGAAAUCUCCGGGCUUAACCCGGAAACUGCCAUUGAUACUAUCUGUCUUGAAUAUCCUGGAGGUGAGCGGAAUAUGUCAUGUAGCGGUGAAAUGCUUAGAUAUGACAUAGAACACCAAUUGCGCAGGCAGCUUACUACACAGUAAUUGACACUGAGGCACGAAAGCGUGGGGAUCAAACAGG